GGGGCUGACAAAGCUUAGACGAAUUAUUAAAAGAUAUCAAGCACGACGACUGAUACCGUAAGUAUUGAAUAAGUGAAGAAACUACUUCCAAGCAUGUGCUUUACGCACCUGCGUUUGCCUAAUUAAUUUUGAUAGGCUGGUUUUGUGUUGAGUUGCCAUAGGCAUAAAAUUAUCAUAAUAAUGGCGAUGGAGCUUACGAACUGACUUGAUCGUAAGCUCGAGAUUUAAGUCAAGGCAAUUAGUAGUUAGGUUCUUUAUCGCUACUAAGUUAAAGCCGAGAUGAAACGAAGAACUAUGCGUGUAGAAUGAUAUCCGGCAGUAAUCCGGACCCGGAGGCAGUAUCCGGCAGCUCCACCA
Molecule: transfer-messenger RNA, 357 nt
Filed under: Candidatus Saccharimonadota bacterium
Lineage: Bacteria; Candidatus Saccharimonadota
Rfam family: transfer-messenger RNA
About the family: Bacterial tmRNA, also known as 10Sa RNA or SsrA, is named for its dual tRNA and mRNA-like properties. Its role is to liberate the mRNA from a stalled ribosome. To accomplish this part of the tmRNA is used as a reading frame that ends in a translation stop signal.
Source: RNAcentral